This 253-nucleotide ribosomal RNA is filed under the name uncultured bacterium. RNAcentral describes it as "partial 16S ribosomal RNA". It matches the Rfam family "Bacterial small subunit ribosomal RNA", at positions 524 to 776 of the family's 1533-position model. The record is from RNAcentral.
UACGUAGGGGGCUAGCGUUGUCCGGAAUCAUUGGGCGUAAAGCGUGCGUAGGCGGUUCCUCAAGUCCGUUGUGAAAGCCCCGGGCUCAACCUGGGAAUGGCAGUGGAAACUAGGGGACUGGAAUCUGGCAGAGGGGGGUGGAAUGCCGCGUGUAGCAGUGAAAUGCGUAGAGAUGCGGCGGAACACCGAUGGCGAAGGCAGCCCCCUGGGCUGAGAUUGACGCUCAGGCACGAAAGCGUGGGGAGCAAACAGG